AUUGAACGCUGGCGGAAUGCUUUACACAUGCAAGUCGAACGGCAGCACGGGGGCAACCCUGGUGGCGAGUGGCGAACGGGUGAGUAAUACAUCGGAACGUGCCCGGUCGUGGGGGAUAACGUAGCGAAAGUUACGCUAAUACCGCAUACGAUCUGAGGAUGAAAGCGGGGGACCUUCGGGCCUCGCGCGAUCGGAGCGGCCGAUGUCAGAUUAGGUAGUUGGUGGGGUAAAGGCCUACCAAGCCGACGAUCUGUAGCUGGUCUGAGAGGACGACCAGCCACACUGGGACUGAGACACGGCCCAGACUCCUACGGGAGGCAGCAGUGGGGAAUUUUGGACAAUGGGCGCAAGCCUGAUCCAGCCAUACCGCGUGCAGGACGAAGGCCUUCGGGUUGUAAACUGCUUUUGUAUGGAACGAAAAGGCUCUGGCUAAUACCUGGGGCUCAUGACGGUACCGUAAGAAUAAGCACCGGCUAACUACGUG
This 484-nucleotide ribosomal RNA is filed under the name uncultured bacterium. RNAcentral's name for it is "partial 16S ribosomal RNA". It matches the Rfam family "Bacterial small subunit ribosomal RNA", at positions 30 to 507 of the family's 1533-position model. The record is from RNAcentral.